RNAcentral lists this long non-coding RNA (398 nucleotides) under Glycine max (soybean). RNAcentral describes it as "long non-coding RNA (GMAX_LNC000997)". The record is from RNAcentral. Lineage: Eukaryota; Viridiplantae; Streptophyta; Magnoliopsida; Fabales; Fabaceae.
GUGAUUCUUGUGUAUUGUGAUUGAUGAUUGAAAGGUGUGAUUGAUGAUUGAAAAGUAAAUUUUGAAUGACAAAGUGAUGAAAUAAUGUGAGAUGUGCUAAGUAAAUUGUAUUUGGCUACUAUAUGUUGUCUUGUUUCUCUCUAGUAGUUAGGAAUGUGAUAACUCACUCCCGGUUUGCUGUUUGUGUUUGGAUCAUGUGAUGAUCUUGAACUUUGUGUUCGGGGGAGCAGAUGGAUAGGUGGAUGACUAUGAAGAACCUCAUGCUAGAGGACACGGGAAUACAACAUUCUGAUAGGAUGUGACAUUAGGAUAUAUGUUCUAUAUUAAUUGUAUGAAGCUUUGACGGCCUUGUUUGAGCCAAGAUGACUUUAUUAUUUAUUUGGACAAGUUUGAAUAUG